Small nuclear RNA from Leptonychotes weddellii (Weddell seal), 102 nucleotides. NCBI's taxonomy places the organism in Eukaryota, Metazoa, Chordata, Mammalia, Carnivora, Phocidae. The record is from RefSeq and is a predicted model, not a curated record.
GUGCUUUCUUUGGCAGCAUGUAUACUAAAAUUGGAAUGAUACAGAGGAGAUUAACAUGGACUCUGCAAGGAACGCAUGCAAAUUCAUGAAAAACGAAUUCAU